UACGUAGGGACCAAGCGUUGUUCGGAUUUACUGGGCGUAAAGGGCGCGUAGGCGGCAAUUCAAGUCAUCUGUGAAAUCUCCGAGCUUAACUCGGAACGGUCAGAUGAUACUGUUUUGCUAGAGUACAGAAGGGGCAAUCGGAAUUCUUGGUGUAGCGGUGAAAUGCGUAGAUAUCAAGAGGAACACCUGAGGUGAAGACGGGUUGCUGGGCUGAUACUGACGCUGAGGCGCGAAAGCUAGGGUAGCAAACGGG
RNAcentral lists this ribosomal RNA (253 nucleotides) under uncultured bacterium. Its description in RNAcentral is "partial 16S ribosomal RNA". It matches the Rfam family "Bacterial small subunit ribosomal RNA", at positions 524 to 776 of the family's 1533-position model. The record is from RNAcentral.